UUUUUUAUUUUGCGUAUUUUGACACUUUUAGACCGAAAAUUGCCAAGUUAACUUUAAAAAAUAGGCAAAAAAUACAAGAGGGACAUUCUCACCCAUAAGUCGAAAAUAAAAUGACAAAGCCACGGCUAAAUAAAGGCAACAGUAGUAUACCGCUGUUCAAACUCAUAAAUCCAUGGACAAAAAACAAAAUCGGGGUAACAAACUAAAACUGAGGGAAACGCAUAAAUAUAAGAGAAGAACAACGACACAACACUACAAUGUAACUAACACACACAGAAACGGACCAAGCAUCAGACAAAAUCCCACGAGAAUAACAAAUAUAACAUCAAAACCAAAUACAUGAAUUUGGGAUAGAAAAGUACCGUGACACGUCUUAUCGCAUUGUCAAUUUACACUCAAAAUAAGAGAAAACAAACGACGCAACGUUAAAUUGU
RNAcentral lists this long non-coding RNA (434 nucleotides) under Mytilus galloprovincialis (Mediterranean mussel). The record is from RNAcentral. Lineage: Eukaryota; Metazoa; Mollusca; Bivalvia; Mytilida; Mytilidae.